RNA transcript from Spinacia oleracea (spinach), 2321 nucleotides. It is a transcript of the gene named splicing factor SF3a60 homolog, with no coding region annotated. The record is from RefSeq and is a predicted model, not a curated record. The transcript has 13 exons. Lineage: Eukaryota; Viridiplantae; Streptophyta; Magnoliopsida; Caryophyllales; Amaranthaceae.
CUUUACAUAGCUAUAGAAACACCAAAAACUCCCCCCUAUUCCAAACCCCAAAAUCAAAACCCCUGCAAUUCCAAUUGCAAUUUUGGACACUUCUCAAUUGAAACAUAAACCCUAAAAAUCAAAAUCAGGGCAAAGGAAGAAGAGUAGAGGAGAGAGAAAAUGUCGUCGACGCUUCUCGAAGUAACUCGAGGCUCUCACGAAGAAGUAGAGAGAUUGGAGCGCCUCAUUGUGAAGGAGCUUCAGAAUGAAGGUGCUUCUUCAAAAGAACGUCUGUUUCAGAGUCAUCGUGUUCGCUUCAUGAUUGAGCACAUCGUCUCUACAACCAAUAAACUCGUUGAGAUUUACGAAGAUAAAGAUAAUGCUCGUAAGGAUGAAAUUGCGGCGCUUGGUGGUCAGACUGCUACUGGUACCAAUGUGUUUAGUGCCUUUUACGACAGAUUGAAAGAGAUUCGUGAGUAUCACAGGCGACAUCAAUCUGCACGUGUCAUAGAUGCUGAAGAGGAGUAUGAGCAGAUGUUUAAGGAGGAUCCCAUGCUUGAUUUCAGUGGAGAGGAAGCAUCUGGCCGUUACUUGGAUUUGCAUCAAUUCUACAAUAUGUACAUUAAUUCAAAAUUUGGUAAACCAAUGGAUUACGUCGCUUACCUGAUGGUAUUCUCACAGCCACAAAAAAUUCCUCGCAAACGCAAGAUGACAAGGCAGUACAAAGAGUACACUAUCAAUAUACUGGAGUACCUGAUCUCUUUCUUUGAACGAACAGAGCCUUUAAAAGAUCUAGAUAGAAUAUUCUCGAAGGUAAUAUCUGAUUUUGAAGAAAAAUGGGCGAUUGGAGAAGUGGAGGGAUGGGAGAAUGAGGGGCAGGAGAAUGGUCAUGUUUCUCAGUCUGACGUGAUUGAUCUUGAUUAUUAUAGCACAGUGGAAGAGCUUAUGGAAUUGGGUCCCGAGAAGUUGAAAGAGGCCUUGGCUGCACUAGGACUGAAAACAGGUGGUACUGUUCAACAAAGAGCAGAGAGGCUAUUCCUUACCAAGAACACUCCUCUCGAGAAGUUGGAUAGAAAGCAUUUUGCUAAACUACCAUGUGGUUCAAACCAGAACGGUAAUGGUGAUGUGCAGUUUCACAAGCAAGAAGAUAUCAAGGAAUUGGCCUUAGUAGAAGCCAAGAUGAAAAAGCUCUGCGAACUGCUUGAAGAGAUCAUAGUCCGAACGAAAGAAAAUAUUGUGAAGAAGCAGGGAAUGACUUUUGAAGAGAUUGAAAAAGAGCACGAGGAGGAAGAUGAACAGGCUGAAUCCGAAAGUGAUGAAGAAGAUCAGCCUAUAUACAAUCCUCUAAAAUUGCCUCUUGGUUGGGAUGGAAAACCAAUACCAUAUUGGUUAUAUAAGCUCCAUGGUCUUGGACAGGAAUUCAAAUGUGAAAUUUGUGGGAACCAUAGUUACUGGGGCCGUCGAGCCUUUGAGAGACAUUUUAAAGAAUGGCGUCACCAACACGGAAUGCGCUGUCUUGGUAUUCCAAACACAAAGAACUUCAAUGAAAUUACAUCUAUUCAGGAUGCUAAGAAUCUCUGGGAAAAAAUUCAGAAAAGACAAGGAUUGCACAAGUGGCGACCAGACCUCGAAGAGGAAUAUGAAGAUCAAGAGGGCAAUAUAUAUAACAAGAAAACAUAUGCUGAUUUACAGCGUCAAGGGUUGAUAUAAAAGAAGUGCUAUUUGUGUAAGUUAUUUUUGGUCUUCUCAUAUACUUCGUAUACUAUUGCCCUUGCCCAGAAACAUGUUCCCUUUCCCCUGUAGCUAGCUAGCUGAUUGUUUCUAAUUCCAAGUUUUAGAAGUUGAAGAAGUUGGGAUAGUUUUAAAGUGUUAAAAAGAUGUGUAAUUAAGAUUUUCUCAUUUGAACAGAGUUAUAUAUUUGAGCUUUUCCCGCAGUCUUGCUUGCUAUACAAGUAUCUUUAGACAAUACAUUCUGAAAUCUGACCUUAUUUUGGUUAAUGUGAUGAAUGCCUAGCCGCAACUGGAUAUUGGAGUCUGCCAUUUUCUAUCUCAGGUUGCUUCUGAAGAAUCAGUUUCCAUUUGCGUUGUUUUAAGAAAUUAUUGAAGCAUGGCUGGUGUGUAAUAGAGUAUGUAGGCUGUUAUUAGUGUUAUAUUUGGCCAUGAGAAUACUUUACGCCUGUCACUUACAUUACUUUCACCGAGCAAAAGAUCAAUGGUCGAUUAUCCCGUAUUUUUACAGGAGUUGUGGCAUUGAUUGCCUGUGCUUAAGUCGUGUUGGCACCCGUUAUCUAAUUGUCAAAUAACAUCAUGAAUUCAUGAAAUAAAGUAUGAUUGUCCCUCUA